RNAcentral lists this unclassified non-coding RNA (6630 nucleotides) under Hevea brasiliensis (rubber tree). The record is from RNAcentral. Lineage: Eukaryota; Viridiplantae; Streptophyta; Magnoliopsida; Malpighiales; Euphorbiaceae.
GAAAAAGUUCAAGAUGAGACAAAUGAGCAUCACCAUAGCGAAUGGUGGCUGUCCAAUGUCACUAUAUAUGCUGCUUUGCAUGGAAGAAAAAGAGAGAAAAGCAAAGAAAUUUUACACAAAUCACAUCUCUUCUGUGAUCAUUCUAGAGAAAUUAAGACUCUUUAGUGGCUUUCUCUACAAGCAAAUUCAAAUUCAACUAUGAUAUUUUCUUCUUCUAGGGUUCCAAAUUUCUCGUUUUCAUUUCACUCCACACCAUGAUUCCCUUCUCCAACCACAAUCAGUCUUCCCGCCACCGCCAAUUCCGGCCUCCUCCGCAGCUCAACCACAAUCACCCGCGCCAACCCCGACCCCAACCCCGUUUAUUUUUUGUCAAACUCCUUUCCAACCACCAUCGUAGUGGUGACCGUACGCUUUCAGUUGACUCUAUUGUCUCCGAAUGCAAUCCCAAACCUUGCAAAGUUCAAAUCAGGACCUCUGGUACAGUUGCUGCCAGCCUCUUUUUUGAGCACCAGGCUGACGCUCUCGAUGCCGUCGUUUCCCUCUGGGAGCGCCGGCUUGCUGGGGACCAUCUGUUUACUCCGGUGGUUGGUUUUAAUGUCGACGAUGAUUUUAAUGAGAGACUUAGAAGUUUGUUCCAAUUGCAUGUGGAGAAGCUUCUACAAGGGCAGUCUGUGGGGAAAUUGGAGAGUAAGGUGAAUGAUUUGCUUGUUGAGAUUGAUAAGUUUGCGUGCUUCUUUAGAAAGGCUAGGGACCUUCGAGCUUUCUGUGAGGCUGAUGGAAAGAAGAAGCGGUUGGUGGAAGAGAAGGAUCUAAUUUUGAAUAGGAUUGAGGAGUUUAAGUGCGCAGUGAAGUGUGUGAUGGAUCAUCUGGAGGGGAAGGAGGUUGAGGAUUUGGCCGUUUUGGGGUUUAAAAUUGGCAAGGGUUUUAAUUGGCAUAAAAUACAUAGUUUGCUAUUGAGAGAGUCUAAGCGUCUUGAAGAUGGGUUGCCGAUAUAUGGUUAUAGAAGGGAGAUUUUGCAGCAAAUACAUUUGCAGCAGGUAAUGGUCUUGAUUGGAGAGACAGGUUCAGGGAAGAGUACGCAGUUGGUACAGUUUCUUGCUGAUUCUGGGGUUGCUUCCAGUGGUUCAAUUUUGUGUACUCAGCCUCGCAAAAUUGCUGCAAUUUCCCUUGAAAAAAGGGUUGGUGAAGAAAGCAUUGGAUGUUAUGAGGAUAAUUCAAUUGUCUGCUAUCCAACUUAUUCAUCUGCACAGUGUUUUAAUUCCAAGGUAAUAUAUAUGACUGAUCACUGUCUAUUGCAGCACCUUAUGAAAGAUAGGACUCUGUCUGGAGUUUCAUGCAUUAUUAUAGACGAGGCCCAUGAAAGAAGCUUGAAUACUGAUCUUCUGUUGGCCUUGAUUAAAGAAUUGCUUAUUGAGAGGGGUGACCUAAGGCUUAUUAUAAUGUCUGCAACAGUUGAUGCCAGCAAAUUAUCAGAAUACUUCUUUGGUUGUAGAACCUUUUAUGUGUUGGGGAGAAGCUUUCCUAUUCAAAUCAAAUAUGUUCCUGGUGACUCUGGAGGCUCUUCUGGCCCCUUGCCCAGUGCUAUUGCUCCAUAUGUUUCUGAUGUUGUUAAAAUGGCUAUGGAGAUCCAUCAAGUGGAGAAAGAGGGGGCAAUUCUUGCGUUUUUGACUUCUCAGCUGGAGGUAGAAUGGGCUUGUGAAAAGUUUCAGUCUCCCUCAGCAAUUGCAUUGGCACUACAUGGAAAGCUUUCCCAUGAAGAGCAAUGUCGUGUUUUCCAGAAUUAUCCUGGGAAGAGAAAAGUUAUUUUUGCUACCAAUUUGGCAGAGACAUCCUUGACUAUUCCUGGGGUCAGGUAUGUGGUUGAUUCUGGAAUGGUUAAGGAAAGCAAGUUUGAACCUACAUCUGGUAUGAAUGUCCUCAGGGUUUCCAAGAUUAGCCAGAGUUCUGCUAAUCAACGAGCUGGUCGUGCUGGUCGAACGGAACCUGGAAAAUGUUACCGGCUUUACUCGGAAUCUGAUUACCAGUCAAUGGAUUUCCAUCAAGAACCUGAAAUUCGUAAAGUUCACCUUGGUAUUGCAGUUUUGAGGAUUCUUGCAUUGGGUAUUAAGAAUGUGCUGGAAUUUGAUUUUAUUGAUGCUCCUAGUGGAAAGGCAGUUAACAUGGCCAUCAGGAACCUUGUGCAGUUAGGCGCUGUUGUCCGCAGAGAUGAUACUUUUGAAUUAACUUUGGACGGGCAUUACUUGGUUAAGUUGGGUAUGGAGCCCCGACUUGGGAAGAUUAUUCUUGAAAGCUGCCGUUAUGGUUUGCGUAUGGAAGGAGUUGCUCUUGCCGCUGUUAUGGCAAAUGCAAGUAGCAUAUUUUGCAGAGUUGGUACCAGUGAUGACAAACAAAAAUCAGAUUGCCUUAAGGUACAAUUCUGCCAUCGUGAUGGAGAUCUCUUCACAUUGCUUACUGUGUACAGGGAGUGGGAAAGUGUAUCUCCAGAUAAUAGAAAUAAGUGGUGUUGGAACAAUAGUAUCAAUGCCAAAACUAUGAGAAGAUGCAAAGAGACAGUGCUGGAGUUGGAGAACUGUUUAAAGCAUGAACUUAGCAUCAUUAUCCCAACUUACUGGCGUUGGAGUCCUUAUGUUGUUACAGCCCAUGAUAAAAGUAUGAAGAAGAUUUUACUUUCUUCACUAGCAGAUAAUGUCGCCAUGUACUCUGGAUAUGAUCGUCUUGGUUAUGAGGUUGUUUCUAGUGGGGAAUACAUUCAACUGCAUCCUUCAUGUUCACUGCAAGUUUAUGGUCAAAAGCCGAACUGGGUUGUCUUUGGUGAACUCUUAUCUAUAUCAAGUCAAUAUCUGGUCUGUGUUACUGCUGUUGACUUUGAUUGUUUGUCUGCCUUUAGUCCUCCUUUAUUUGACCUCUCAAAGAUGCGGAGUAAAAAAUUGCAUUUGAGGGUGAUCAGCGGAUUUGGCAGUACUGUUUUAAGAAGGUUCUGUGGAAAGUCAAAUACUAGCUUGCUUUCUCUUGUGUCUCAUGUACAGAAAAAUUGCAUGGAUGAGCGGAUAGGUAUUGAAGUCAAUGUGGAUAAUAAUGAGAUUCUAUUAUAUGCCUCUAUACAAGACAUACAAAAGGUGUAUGGCCUUGUUAUUGAUGCAUUAGAAUAUGAAGUAAAAUUGUUAAGUAAUGAAUGCCUGGAGAAGUGCUUGUAUCAUAGGGGACGGGCUGGUGCUUCUCCCCCAGUAGCACUUUUUGGAGCUGGUGCGGAAAUUAAGCAUAUGGAAUUGGAAAAUAGAAAUUUGAGUGUGGAUGUAUUCCUCUCAAAUGCAAAUCGUGCAGAUGAUAAGGAGGUCUUGGCAUUCUUUGAAAAAUCAGUGUCUGGGGUGUGCAGUUUUCACAGAUUUGCAGGAAGUGGACAGAAUGGUGACCAUAUGGAGAAGUGGGGCAGUGUGACAUUUCUUGCUCCUGAAGCCGCUAUGAAAGCACUAGAGUUCAAUGGGUUUGAUUUAUCUGGUUCUUCACUUAAGUUGUCCCCUGCUAGAUCAUCUGUUGGAGGUAGUAAUAAAUUAUCAUCAUUUGCUGCUUUAAAAGCCAAAGUCACUUGGCCGCGAAGGUACAGCAAAGGGUAUGCGGUUGUCAGAUGUGAAAGGAAUGAUGCUAUGUUUGUUGUUGAAGAUUGCUUUAAUCUGCUGAUUGGGGGCAGGCUAGUUCAUUGCGAGCCUAGCACAAAGGACAUAAACUGUGUUAUUAUCAGAGGACUGGAUAGAGAUACUUCUGAAUUAGAAAUUCUUGAAGUUCUGCAAAUUGCCACAAGUAGGAGAAUUUUGGAUGUAUUUCUGAUACGAGGAGAUGCUGUAAAUAAUCCUCCUCUUGGUGCUUGUGAGGAAGCAAUUCUCAAGGAAAUUGCUCCAUUCAUGCCUAACCAGGGUCCCUUGAGCAAUUACUGUCAUGUUCAGGUCUUUUCCCCUGAGCCAAAGGAUACUUUCAUGAAGGCUUGGAUCACCUUUGAUGGAAGUCUACACCUGGAAGCUGCAAAAGCUCUGCAACAUAUCCAAGGGAAGGUACUUGCUGGUUGUUUAUCAUGGCAGAAAAUGCAGUGCCAGCGGAUUUUCCAUAGUUCUGUGUCAUGCCCUGCUCCUGUUUUUGCAUUCAUUGAGAGGCAGCUAAACUCUUUGCUCAAAAGGUUAACGCGUCGACCUGGUGUUCAUUGCAGUUUAGAAAGGAAUGAAAAUGGUUCCUAUAGAGUGAAGAUAUCUGCUAAUGCAACAAAGAUAGUGGCAGAGUUGAGGAGGCCACUGGAGCAGCUAAUGAAUGGAAAGAUGGUAAAUCAUGGCAGCCUCACCCAAGCAGUUCUGCAGCAUCUUUUCUCCAGUGAUGGCAGAUUACUUAUGAAUUCACUGCAAAAGGAAACUGGAACUUACAUUCUCUUCGAUAGGCAGAACCUCAAUGUUAGGAUCUUUGGUCCAGAGAACAAAAUUGCUCUUGCUGAACACAAGCUCAUAAAAUCCCUUUUAGCUCUCCACGAUAACAAGCAAAUAAAUAUCCCUCUGCAAGGUGGGUUUAUGCCUCACGAUCUUAUGAAAAAAGUAGUUGAGAAAUUUGGACCUGACUUGCAUGGGCUAAAAGAGAAGUUCCCUGAGGCUACAUUUAUGCUUAACACAAGGCGUCAUGUCAUUUCUUUUAGUGGUAAGAGGGAUCUCAGGCCAAGGGUGGAGGAUAUAAUUCAUGAUUUUGCACGAUCCCUUUGUGUCAGUGGAGCUGCUGACCAACCUGAAUUUGAAGCUACUACCUGUCCUAUUUGCUUGUGUGAAGUUGAGGACUGUUACCAGCUUGAAGCAUGCGGACACAAGUUCUGCAGGUCUUGCUUGGUUGAGCAGUUGGAGUCAGCAAUGAGAAGACAUGAUGGUUUCCCUGUACGCUGUGCCCGUGAAGGUUGUGGGAUGCACAUUUGGCUCAUUGAUUUGAAGUCUCUUCUGCCAUGUGAAAUGUUAGAGGACCUUUUCAGGGCCUCUUUGGGGGCAUUUGUUGCAUCUAGUGGUGGCCUUUACAGGUUUUGCCCCUCACCUGACUGUCCUUCUGUUUACCGUGUAUCGGACACGGGGAUGGUUGGCGGUCUAUUUGUAUGUGGAGCAUGCUAUGCAGAGACAUGUACUAGGUGUCACUUAGAGUAUCACCCAUAUGUGUCGUGUGAAAGAUACAAAGAGUUCAAGGAGGAUCCUGAUUUGUCCUUGAAGGACUGGUGCAAGGGAAAAGAGCAUGUUAAGAGCUGUCCAGCAUGCGGGUACAUAAUUGAGAAGGUGGACGGGUGCAACCACAUUGAGUGCAGAUGUGGCAAGCAUAUCUGCUGGGUCUGCUCAGAAUCCUUUAGCAGCAGUGAUGAGUGCUAUGGGCACUUGAGGCUUAUACAUCUCACUAUCAUAUGAAGACCAAGCCAACUAUCCAAUGGUAACCUGCCUGCUUGUACAUAUUUAUGUAUAUAGCUACCUAUUCUUAGCCUAUGUGAUCUAGGAGCAUCUGUAUAUUGGUUUUCACUCUGUACUGUUAUUCGGCUCAAGCUGCCGUCUUGGUCAACAAUGACCACUUGAGUUCAACAGACGGUUGUUUGCUCCAGUUAAGAGUUCUUCAUUUUUAUUAUUUUAGAAUCAAAUGCUCAUCUCCAUUCUUGAUCGAUAUAACUAACCAUAAUUAUUAGCUUGAAUUUUCUGGCUGGUAUAAAGGUCUUCUUUCUUUCUUAGCUUCUGAGUUUAAAUGGAAGAAGUUAAGAAUUAGAGUUCAUCUGCUAACUCUGGUUGUCAAAACAAAAAUCAGGUAAGUUUUUCAAAUUAUUUAAUACACAUACAAAUGAUAAAGAUUCAUAUUAGUGUGUUUUGCAGAGGAAAACAAAUGGAAAGCCUUGUUCUGCUUGUUAAGAGAGUAAUUUGCUAUUGCAUCUGCAUGUACAUUGAAAAGUAAAUUUUCUCAAUUUUACUUCCCUUCUGAUUUUUGUUGCAGAAGCUUUUCAAUUGCAGGUUCAACCAUUGUUUCCAAGUCUUCAAAGUCGUGCUUUAACUUGUCGACCUUGUGAAUGAAAUCUCUGGUUAGCUGAGCAUCAUGAGCUGUUGCUUUUGAAACCCUCUCUAUUAACACAGCAGUUUCUUUUAGUUUUCCAUUUUCGGGAAGUUUUUCUGCCACCUCUGCUGAUAUGUUUUCUGCCAUUGUUGCAAACUUUUGUACUACAGCUGCUACACUUUCAACCUCUUCCCCAACAAUUUCUGCCUCACCUUCUAUCAUCUUCAGUUUCUCCCAUUUUUCCUUCCAGAAUGGUAGAAUGAGAGAUAACAUAGAGCCCAACAUCCAUUUUGCCCAAGAAGCAUAGUUGGCCCUUGGAGGAUCCACUGGUGGUACUGGUGCUUUACCCAUAUCAUCCUUUACCUUCACCAUGUUGGUAUCAAGAUUUCUUGUUCCACCAUUGGUAGUGAUCAUCAUCAACUUCAAUCCUCUUUGAUCCAUUGAAUACCCAUGUAAACCAAUCUUCUUAUCUGCUACAAUAGCACCUGCAGAACCGUAUCCAAGAGCAACAUUGCUAGAGCAACAAGUUCUGUAUCUAUAAUACAAUAGUUGAAGAAAACUUCUCCAAGAACUUCCUUUAGCAAGCAUGGUGAAAAUGGC